AUGGCAUGUGGGCUGAGCUGGCUUCUCCUGGUGGCUGUGUUGGGAGGGGUUCAGUGUGAGGUGCAGCUGGUGGAGUCUGGCUUGGUGAAGCCCGAGGGGAACCUGAGACUCUCCUGUGUGGCCUGUGGAUUCAAUUUUGGCAGCUAUGCAAUGGGCUGGGUCAGUCAGGCUCCAGGGAAGGGACUAGAGUGGCUUUCAACCAUCAGUCAUGGUGGUAGUAAAAUAUACUAUGCCGACUCGGUCAAAGGCCGAUUCACCAUCUCCAGAGACAACAGCAAGAACACACUCUCUCUGCAAAUGAGCAGCCUGAGGGUGCAGGACACGGCCCUGUACUACUGUGUGAAAGACACAGUGAGAGGAAUGCACAUGUCUGACAUCAUGACCUCGUGGGAGGAAUGUGCAUCAGUGUUGGUUCCUCCUCUUUCUGGUGGCAGCUCCUGGAUUGUCCUGUCCCAGGCACAGCUGCAGGAGUCGAGAUCAAGCCUGGUGACGCCCUGGCAGAUGCUGUCCCUCACCUGCUCGGUCUCUGGAUUCCCUAUAACUAGCAGCAGCUCUGGUAUAGACUGGUUCCACCAGCUUCCUGGAAAGCGGCUGGACUGGAUUGGUGGCAGAAAUAGUGCAGGGAGCACGUUUUAUAUUCCAAGUCUUCAGUCCUGA
Molecule: non-coding RNA, 657 nt
Organism: Sorex araneus (European shrew)
Lineage: Eukaryota; Metazoa; Chordata; Mammalia; Eulipotyphla; Soricidae
Source: the annotation of a RefSeq genome assembly